Long non-coding RNA from Xyrauchen texanus (razorback sucker), 1422 nucleotides. RefSeq lists it as uncharacterized. The transcript is spliced from 5 exons. The record is from RefSeq and is a predicted model, not a curated record. NCBI's taxonomy places the organism in Eukaryota, Metazoa, Chordata, Actinopteri, Cypriniformes, Catostomidae.
UGACUUGAUAACAUCUCCCUCUCUCUCAAUUCAAUUUCAGUUUUUCUGUUUUCUGUUUCUCGUUUGAGAUGUCAGAUCUAGAGGAUGCGCUUAAAGCGUUGCGACGGAAGGUGCAUGAGGGUGAAGAGGCUCUUCAGAGAGCUGGACAGUAUGGACUUCAACUCUUGGAUGACAAAAUGGAGCUACACAACAAAUUGGAACAGCAGCGAAUUGAGAUGUCCAAUGUCAUUGAGGCCGUGGAGCAAGAUAAAUACUCUCUGCAAAGGGAAGUUGAGUUAAAGGUUCGCAUCCUGGAGAGUCUUCGUUCAGAAUUUGACAGUCAAAAACCAGCAGAAACACCAGCUGUGGUAGCAGCAAUCUCUGUUGGAGAGGAGUCAUAAUCUUGAGAUCAGUGACUUAAAGAAUAAGGUGGAGAAAAUGAAGGCAGAAUUAGAGGAAGCACAACUGGCUGAGAAGCAGAUGAGACACAAGCUGGACCAGCAAUCUGAAGCACUGAGCAGCAAAACCGAGGAGCUCCGCAUCCUUACAGAGCGUGCACAUGAAACCAUGUCCUCCGAGAUCCUGGAGUUGCAAGUGCAGAAGAUGAACAUGGAAUCAGCUAUGAAGGUGUUCAAAUGUGCCAGACCUAUGAGGUAGUGGGCAAUUUGAAGGUUCUGAAGUGUGGGACCUUGACUUUCAGUGGACUUUGGAGCAGGAGCUUCAGGAGGCACGAUACAAAGAUGAGCAGCUGUAUUUGGUCAACACUACCCUCCAGCUGCAACUGGAGAGACUCACAGAGGAGAAGGGAGAGAGAGUAAGAGGCCGUGUCCUGCUAUAAUGCUUUGGAGGAGCUAAUAUAACAGGCAGGUGACCUUAUACCAGAUUCCUCACCAGGAACGUUUGCGACAAUAUGCUGAAGUGUCCCUUCUGCCCAUGUUGGAAGUGCAGGGGUGGUGCAGCCUUGUGCCUGAGCUUUUAGCUUCUACGGAGCAUGAUUGGAGGGAGAAGGCUUUACGAACUCUGCUUGCCAUGAUGGCUCAGUGUCAGACUCAGUAUAAACAGAACCCCACCCUGACCACUUCUCUUAAUGAACUGCAGAAACAGUAAAGAACUGGCUCACACAGAGCAGGAUGUAGGGGAGGAGGAUGGUUACUUCCUAACCCUUGCAGUAUCUAUGGUAGUUAAAAUGCAAUAAUAUGUGUAGAAUGGACUGUUCCUUUUUUUGGAAUAUCAAGAACAAAUAAAAUUAUUGACAUUUUUAAUACUGGAUUUGUCUGGUUGCUCCAUUUAGGAAUGUGCAAUGUAAUACAAAAGCUUCACCAUGCUUUGAAUACUCCAAAGUGGCCUAAAGUUAUGUACUGAAUGUACCAAAGGUCAAAUGUUCAAAGGAAACCAUUCAGAAUAAUGUUUUAUAAGAGUCUGCUUUGCUAGUCUUCGCUGGCU